Boleophthalmus pectinirostris (great blue-spotted mudskipper) is the source of this 842-nucleotide long non-coding RNA. RefSeq lists it as uncharacterized. NCBI's taxonomy places the organism in Eukaryota, Metazoa, Chordata, Actinopteri, Gobiiformes, Gobiidae. The record is from RefSeq and is a predicted model, not a curated record. The transcript has 2 exons.
UAGAAUUAUUUGGAUAAUUUCAAUCCUGGAGUUGCCAAUUUCCAAUGAAUUAAAGAUAAAAGCAGUUGAUAACUUGGAAACUACUACUAAAUGACAUCACAAGGUGAAAUAGAGCAUUUUGAGAGUUGGGAAUUUAUCAAAACUAAUGCAGGGUUCCUCAAACAUGUGAAUAAAACAAACCACAACUCAGGAUACAUUUCUAAUGGCAGACUGGACCCUGCAGCUGGAAGCAUGGCAGCAUGAAGCUCCUCAGACCCUGCAGGUGCUCCCCUGUCUGAACCAGGCUGGACAGAGGCCAUGGCGGUGGGCAAGGCUAACUCUCUGCUCUGCAAAGAGAGCAUUCUGAUUGGCUGUCAGAAGAACGCAGAGCUCGUAUUGGUAUACGUGCCUCUGAGCGCCUGCAGGGACGACCUUGGGAGAAGGUUCAACGAUGCGGUGGUGAAAUACUCCUGUGUCUAUGCCUGGUGUUUUGCUCAGGGAGAGAUCCAUUCACCCCGCACCCUGACAAACCUGGACACCUGCAGGGAGCGGUCUGCUUCUGUCAGUACGUGCACCAUCACAAAUGCAGGUACUGCUGAGGCAGAGAUAUAUUAUAAGGCUUAGAUAGAACCAAAGUCUGUUGCCAUGGCAAAUGUGGCAGCUAUCUUGUGAUUCUGAUGGAAAAUAAUGUAAGAGCAGCACCAGAAGAUUAGCAGUGUUUAAAUUUACAUAUAAUCACAUUUUGCCUUUUCAUUUUUAUUUUGUGCUUUAUGCUGUGUUAUUUUUGUUUUAUGUUUGUAAAAAAUAAAAUAAAAUAAAAUAAAAUAAAUAAAUAAAUAAAUAAAAUACAUUUUCAAAAAUGA